Molecule: ribosomal RNA, 395 nt
Filed under: uncultured bacterium
Lineage: Bacteria
Description: partial 16S ribosomal RNA
Rfam family: Bacterial small subunit ribosomal RNA
Source: RNAcentral
AUACGUAGGGGCGAGCGUUGUCCGGAAUGAUUGGGCGUAAAGGGCGCGUAGGCGGCCCGGUAAGUCUGGAGUGAAAGUCCUGUUUUUAAGAUGGGAAUUGCUUUGGAUACUGUCGGGCUUGAGUGCAGGAGAGGUAAGUGGAAUUCCCAGUGUAGCGGUGAAAUGCGUAGAGAUUGGGAGGAACACCAGUGGCGAAGGCGACUUACUGGACUGUAACUGACGCUGAGGCGCGAAAGUGUGGGGAGCAAACAGGAUUAGAUACCCUGGUAGUCCACACUGUAAACGAUGAUUACUAGGUGUGGGGGGACUGACCCCUUCCGUGCCGCAGUUAACACAAUAAGUAAUCCACCUGGGGAGUACGGCCGCAAGGUUGAAACUCAAAGGAAUUGACGGGG